UUUUCGCUUGUUUUUAGCAUAAUGUUUGCAUGUUGAGCAUGUUAUUUUAUUUAUUCCAGCUUUGUACAUAGACGAGUUGCAUCAAGUCCAGGCAAGGGACAUGCAGAAAUUCUACCCCUGUCGUUGUCCAGCGUGACAGUCUGACCGUCAAAGCAUGCAUUUCCUGAAAAUGACUGCUGAGGAGCAGCAUGAGUCUCCAGAUGAGGAGGAGAUCAAUUAUUUGAGAAAAACAAUCAUUGACAUCGAUGAUCCUGGUCAGAGGUUCAGGAAAAGGAGACGGGUCUGAUGAGGAAUAUAUUCCUCACCUUUGUUUAUGGACAACUUCAGACUUCGAGAACUUCCAAAAUCACAUCCUGAUGUAUGCAGGGAAGCAUUUUGGCUUUAGCCCACCUGUAUACACAGCUCAGACGUUGCUUGCAGAGUAAAAUAAUUCACCGACAUAAUUUCUUGUUCAUGUCUUGUCACAUCCCUAAAUAAAUGUUGCUGUAAUUGCAAAUGAUCUGAUUAUCACAACCUGUUUUCUCAUAACUUCUCACUUGAAUCAAAAUCUCUGGGAAAUUCUCUGCAUUUGGUGUUUUUCACAAUGAAUAUAAAUCGGAAUCGGAAAGAUAUAUAUUUUUUUUAUUCUGUAAACAAGGACAGAACUCAACAUUUCUGACUUGUACAUGAUAAAAUGUAUAAAAAUAAAAACUAUUUACAUUGAAAGUAAACACUGUUAUUCACACCAGCCAGUGCAAAAGAAAUCCCGUGUACUGGUUGUUUGGAAGAUUACAGAUAGGUUUCCUGACCCAAACUACACAGCUUGGGAUGACGACCUGAUUUCCUUCCGCAUGCCGCAACUCUCAGCUCCACUUCAGGCUUCUGGUGGUCAUCGUGGCGAAGAUGUCGUACCAGGCAGUCCGGGCCGGCCACAAAACCCCCUCUUCUAAUAUAAAAUACUGUAUGUGUGCCAUAUGAUUACUUAUGCAGAGCUUCUCCAGGUCUGUGGGCAUGUCCCUGCAGUUUGUGCAGAUGCACCAGUGCAGCUGGGGUUCAUCUGGACCACCUGGACUUGGACGCUCAAGUAACGCCAUCACAUCAAACACCCGGCCUGGCAGUCUGGUCACGACCUGCCCCAGAAAGGUUUUCAUCUGUGGUGGAGUCAGGGCCUUCAGUUUAUCCUACAACAUAAAGCAUUUAUUUGAUAUUUUAUGUUAUUGUACGAGAUUGCAUUACGAGAUUUCCUGGAUGACAUGAGUUAUCUAACCCAGCUAACAAAUAAAUAAAUGUUACGCCAGAGAGUUGCCUUUGUAAUUGUCUUUCCACAGCCAAACUUUAUUUUUUUACCCUUAGAAACACGUCUACC
Molecule: long non-coding RNA, 1345 nt
Organism: Cololabis saira (Pacific saury)
Lineage: Eukaryota; Metazoa; Chordata; Actinopteri; Beloniformes; Belonidae
Exons: 4
Source: RefSeq, a predicted model, not a curated record